This 492-nucleotide ribosomal RNA is filed under the name uncultured bacterium. RNAcentral describes it as "partial 16S ribosomal RNA". It matches the Rfam family "Bacterial small subunit ribosomal RNA", at positions 29 to 507 of the family's 1533-position model. The record is from RNAcentral.
AGUGAACGCUGGCGGUAGGCCUAACACAUGCAAGUCGAACGGCAGCACAGUAAGAGCUUGCUCUUACGGGUGGCGAGUGGCGGACGGGUGAGGAAUACAUCGGAAUCUACUUUUUCGUGGGGGAGAACGUAGGGGAACUUACGCUAAUACCGCAUACGACCUACGGGUGAAAGCAGGGGAUCUUCGGACCUUGCGCGAUUGAAUGAGCCGAUGUCGGAUUAGCUAGUUGGCGGGGUAAAGGCCCACCAAGGCGACGAUCCGUAGCUGGUCUGAGAGGAUGAUCAGUCACACUGGAACUGAGACACGGUCCAGACUCCUACGGGAGGCAGCAGUGGGGAAUAUUGGACAAUGGGCGAAAGCCUGAUCCAGCCAUACCGCGUGGGUGAAGAAGGCCUUCGGGUUGUAAAGCCCUUUUGUUGGGAAAGAAAAGCAGCAGGUUAAUACCCCGCUGUUCUGACGGUACCAAAAGAAUAAGCACCGGCUAACUUGGUG